UCAUCAUUUUGGUGCUUGAUACGCCACAUGAGGAAGAAAGCCAGUGCGACCAAGCGGAUCAGGACGAGGAGCCUGCAUGGGAGGAACAAUUAGAAGAGCUUGACAAAGAGGAUGGUGUGUGCAACAAAGUGGCAAUGCGGCGGUUAUGAUCUUUGACGGGAAUAAGAUCGCCCACAACAUGUAUGCAUGAAGUGAAAUGAAUUGCUCAUAUCGAAAGAAGAAAUCGAAGGUGAACAGAACAGUUUGGCUUCUGGGAGUAAGAAUGCAAGCAAGAUGAUAAAGACGGCACCUGUAAGGACUGAUUACGGCAGCUGGAAUCCUGAGCUUGCGGGUGAGCGGCCGCCAUGGUUUGGUCAAGAGCUCCCUG
Phragmites australis (common reed) is the source of this 367-nucleotide long non-coding RNA. RefSeq lists it as uncharacterized. Lineage: Eukaryota; Viridiplantae; Streptophyta; Magnoliopsida; Poales; Poaceae. The transcript is spliced from 3 exons. The record is from RefSeq and is a predicted model, not a curated record.